AACGCACAUUGCGCCCUUUGGUAUUCCGAAGGGCAUGCCUGUUCGAGCGUCAUUAUCACCCCUCAAGCCCUGUGCUUGGUGUUGGACGGCCGGUCGAGCGAUCGACCCCUCCUAAAGACAAUGACGGCGGCCUGUGGUUCCCCCGGUACACUGAGCUUUUCACCGAGCACGUAUCGGACAAGGGCACCCGGGACCCGGUCCUCUCCUUUCACAAAAGGAAACUUUCUAUGGUUGACCUCGGAUCAGGUAGGAAUACGCGCUGAACUUAA
RNAcentral lists this unclassified non-coding RNA (269 nucleotides) under uncultured Cladophialophora. RNAcentral's name for it is "sequence contains ITS2". The stretch from base 1 to 52 matches the Rfam family "5.8S ribosomal RNA", at positions 103 to 154 of the family's 154-position model. Lineage: Eukaryota; Fungi; Ascomycota; Eurotiomycetes; Chaetothyriales; Herpotrichiellaceae. The record is from RNAcentral.